AGAGAGAGACAUGCGCGCAUAUCAAUAAGCGGAGGAAAAGAAACUAUACAAGGAUUCCCCUAGUAACGGCGAGUGAAGCGGGAAGAGCUCAAAUUUGAAAUCUUCAAGGUUUCUACCUUGACGAAUUGUAGUUUAAAGAAGUGUUUUCGGUUAGAGGAGUAGUAAAAGUUCUUUGGAAUAAGGACAUCAUAGAGGGUGAGAAUCCCGUAUUUGACCAUUAUUUUCCAGCUGUGUGAUACACUUUCAAAGAGUCGGAUUGUUUGGGAAUGCAGUCCAAAAUGGGUGGUAAAUUUCAUCUAAAGCUAAAUAUUGGCGAGAGACCGAUAGCGAACAAGUACCGUGAGGGAAAGAUGAAAAGAACUUUGAAAAGAGAGUUAAACAGUACGUGAAAUUGUCAAAAGGGAAGCGUUUGACACCAGUGUUGUUUUUUCCGAAAAUCAAUUACGAAUGUUUUGUUUUUGAGGAGUUAUGACUUCAUCGGCUUGCUCCUUUCUUUAUGGAACUUUCUUAAUGCACUUUUCGGUUAACAAGUCAACAUCAAUUUCUUUUGUUGUAAAAGAGUAUGAGGAAGGUGGCUUUCUUUUCGGAGAAAGUGUUUAUAGCCUUGUACUUCUGCAAUCGGAGAGAUUGAGGUCUGCAGCGUAGAUCCUUCGGGGUUAGAUACAUUUGUGCUAAGUUAUAGCCUUUCAUAGACAACUUGUUGACUAUGAUCAGUCAUGUAGCUUACUCGCUUAUGCUAUUUUACCUACGCUUAGGAUGUUGACAGCAGUAUAGACUGU
RNAcentral lists this ribosomal RNA (779 nucleotides) under uncultured Neocallimastigales. RNAcentral describes it as "partial large subunit ribosomal RNA". It matches the Rfam family "Eukaryotic large subunit ribosomal RNA", at positions 23 to 640 of the family's 3401-position model. Lineage: Eukaryota; Fungi; Neocallimastigomycota; Neocallimastigomycetes; Neocallimastigales. The record is from RNAcentral.